Molecule: ribosomal RNA, 107 nt
Filed under: Acanthosepion pharaonis
Lineage: Eukaryota; Metazoa; Mollusca; Cephalopoda; Sepiida; Sepiidae
Source: RNAcentral
GACCAUAUCACGUUGAAGCACCACUUCCGUACGAUCACCGAAGUUAAGCAACGUUUAGCUUGGUCAGUAACUAAAUGCGUGACCGCCUGGGAAUACCAGGUGCUGUA